CAAGAUGACUGCCAGAUUUGCAGCUGGAGA
RNAcentral lists this non-coding RNA (30 nucleotides) under Mus musculus (house mouse). Lineage: Eukaryota; Metazoa; Chordata; Mammalia; Rodentia; Muridae. The record is from RNAcentral.